CACAUAAAUGAUUCAACCCUAAUACCAAGUCCUCUAUAACGUCUCUCUCUCUCUCUCUCGAGUUAGCCCUAAAAAAAGCUAAUGUCUGGGAUGUACGAUCAAGGAGGAGACGCUGCUCCUCCGUCUUACGGUGCCCCUGGGGGUGGUGGUGGAUACGGUGGUGGUGGUGGUUAUGGUGGAAAAGGUGGUGACGGUGGAUAUGGAGGCGGAGGCCGGGGAGUCGGCGGCGGUAGAGGCUUUGGUGGACGAGGUGGCGGCGGAGGUGGAGGCUACGGUGGUCGAGGUGGCAGUGGCGGAGGGGGUUAUCAAGGAGGAGAUCGCGGAGGGCGAGGCAGUGGACGUGGUGGCGGAGGUGGUCGUGGCGGAAGCGGCAGAGAUGGUGAUUGGGUCUGCCCUAAUCCUGGCUGCGGGAAUUUGAACUUUGCUAGGAGAGUGGAGUGUAAUAAGUGUGGUGCACCCUCACCUGGGGGUGCUAGCGGCGGUGGUGGUGGUGGUUUUAAUAGAGGUGGAGCUGAUGGUGGUUAUAAUAGAGGUGGAGGUGAUGGGGGUUACAAUAGAGGUGGAGGUGAUGGGGGUUACGGUGGUAAUCGUAAUGGCAGGGGUGGUAGUUUUCAUGGUGGUCGAAGUGGAACUCAUGAUGGAGGCCGAAAUGAAGGAGGGAACAGAGGUGGUAACUCGUACGGUGGUCACCAGGGAGGAGAAGAUAGUGGUUACAGUCAGGUUCCCCCUUCCUCGGCACCCUCAUCUGGUGGCCUUGCUGGCUCUUAUCCACCAUCUUACCAUGGUGGAAGUGCAGAUUACGGGACUGAUGCAGUUCCUCCUCCUGCAAGCUACAGUGGAACUACAUACCCUCCAACUUAUGGUGGUCCAUCUGGUGGCUAUGGUGGUGAUAGUCUAGGUGAUGGGCGGAGUUCUGCCGGUCGGGGUGGACCAUCAGCUGGAUAUGACGGCGGCUACAAUGCAGGUGGUAGAGGUGGCUAUAAUUCUGGUGGUAGAGGAGGAGGAAGCUAUAAUACUGGUGGUGGUAGAGGUGGCGGUUAUGGAAGUACACCGGCAGCAGAGCCAGCGCAAGUUAAACAGUGCGAUGAUAAUUGUGAUGAUUCGUGUGAUAACUCUAGAAUCUAUGUUUCUAAUUUGCCAACAGAUGUGACAAUUGAUGAAUUGAGAGAACUAUUUGGUGGAAUUGGUCAAAUUGGAAGAAUUAAGCAGAAGAGGGGCUACAAGGAUCAGUGGCCUUGGAACAUUAAAAUAUAUACAGAUGAGAUGGGAAAUAACAAAGGCGAUGCAUGUGUAUCAUAUGAAGAUCCCCAAGCAGCGCAUUCUGCUGGCGGUUUCUAUAACAAUUAUGAUUUGAGAGGCUAUAACAUCAGUGUUGCAAUGGCUGAGAAGUCUGCACCGAGGGCUCCACCUACAUACAACCAUGGUGGUGGUGGUAGAGGCGGAUAUGGAGGUGGUGGGGAUAGGCGCAGAGAUAGCUAUAGGGAUGGAGCCUCUGGACCUGAUAGACAUCAGCACGGCGGAAAUCGAUCUCGUCCUUACUGAGAAAUUCGGCAUUGAGCAUUUUAUGUAAUGGGAAUUGUGAUCUUAGUGUUUUAAUUUUGUUCCAUGGCUGGAUUCUUGAAUUGGAGACCAAAGAGAGGCAGGCGGAUAAUCUCCAAACUGCUUGUUGCUAAGGUAGGUGUUGAUGUUUCAGGUGAGUGCUUCUCUUUCCAUAACCAUUCUUAGAAUUUUGCACGAGUGGCUCUGAUGUAUAAAGCUCCACCUGAGCUCAGAUACAUCUCUGUUGGCUCCUAAUGCAAGCAUAUCUUAACCUAUAGUCAUCAUUUCUGCAUUCAUAUUUUAGUUACUAAAUAUUAACUUAACAUAGUUUAUUAUUAUUUAUUUGUUAGGAUGACUGUAUAAUCUGUCUGUCUUGUUCCAUAAUUCAUCUUGCAUGUGUUCAA
Cucurbita pepo subsp. pepo (vegetable marrow) is the source of this 1943-nucleotide RNA transcript. It is a transcript of the gene named TBP-associated factor 15B, with no coding region annotated. NCBI's taxonomy places the organism in Eukaryota, Viridiplantae, Streptophyta, Magnoliopsida, Cucurbitales, Cucurbitaceae. The record is from RefSeq and is a predicted model, not a curated record.